GGAUUAAGUCGGGCUAUAUACAUUGGGUUACAUUAAGUUAAUAAUAAAUUUAAACUAAGGAAAAGGUUUGAGAUUUUUGUUUGUUGGUUAGUUUGAUAGCUCAGUUAUAUAAACAAAAUAAAUAAUCUAUAUAAAAUAUAAAUAUAGAUCAGUAAUAUAUAUGUGUUGGCGCCAAUCGCCUCGUCGUCUGAUCGCCGGGGAACGAGCGCCUGCAAAA
Molecule: long non-coding RNA, 217 nt
Filed under: Elaeis guineensis (African oil palm)
Lineage: Eukaryota; Viridiplantae; Streptophyta; Magnoliopsida; Arecales; Arecaceae
Description: long non-coding RNA (EGUI_LNC078109)
Source: RNAcentral